Long non-coding RNA from Orcinus orca (killer whale), 407 nucleotides. RefSeq lists it as uncharacterized. The record is from RefSeq and is a predicted model, not a curated record. The transcript has 3 exons. NCBI's taxonomy places the organism in Eukaryota, Metazoa, Chordata, Mammalia, Artiodactyla, Delphinidae.
UUAUUUUUCUCUUAGUUCUGGAAACCCUUUUGCCCGUACUCUAAGACUUUAUUUGGACAGGAGUGGGAAAAAGGAAGGUGAACCAAUAAAAUGAAUGAACAAGAGCAGACCUUUGGAGCCCAACUUCCUGGAUUUCAGUGCCAAUUCUUCCAUUUACGAUCUAGGAGAUCAGCUUCUUCCUUCCUACUUAUGACCCAUCAACAAGAGUGAGGGGUAUUCUUUUCUGUGAAAAACACUGUCCUGCGCCGCAGUUCCUGCCCUCACAGUAUUCACUAUCAAGUUGAAAGGAGGCUCUGCAGUACCCGUGGGCUGACCUCCAUCUGACGGAUGCUGCCCAUGUAAGAUUUAUGACUCCACUUGAAAGCCUGAGGCUUUGGAGGAAGAGACUGAACACAGGUGCUUCAAUG